RNAcentral lists this ribosomal RNA (2859 nucleotides) under Moraxella catarrhalis. Its description in RNAcentral is "bacterial LSU rRNA". It matches the Rfam family "Bacterial large subunit ribosomal RNA". Lineage: Bacteria; Pseudomonadati; Pseudomonadota; Gammaproteobacteria; Moraxellales; Moraxellaceae. The record is from RNAcentral.
GGUCAAGUAAUGAAGUGCACAUGGUGGAUGCCUUGGCAGUCAGAGGCGAUGAAAGACGUGAUAGCCUGCGAUAAGCGUCGGUGAGGUGGCAAUAUCCUGUGACCCGGCGAUUUCUGAAUGGGGAAACCCAACCAACAUAAGUUGGUUAUUACACAGUUUACUGUGUAAGGCAAACCGGGAGAAGUGAAACAUCUCAGUACCCCGAGGAAAAGACAUCAAAUGAGAUUCCGUAAGUAGCGGCGAGCGAACACGGAGGAGCCGAUCAAUUUUACAGUAGCAAAAUGGCGUGGGAAAGCCAACCAUAGUAGGUGAUAGUCCUGUAUGCGAAACUGUUUAAGCGACAUAUUAAGUAGGGCGGAACACGAGAAAUUCUGUCUGAAGAUGGGGGGACCAUCCUCCAAGGCUAAAUACUCCUGACUGACCGAUAGUGAACCAGUACCGUGAGGGAAAGGCGAAAAGAACCCCUGUUAGGGGAGUGAAAUAGAACCUGAAACCGUGUGCAUACAAGCAGUCGGAGCGGACUUGUUCCGUGACGGCGUACCUUUUGUAUAAUGGGUCAGCGACUUAUAUUCUGUAGCAAGGUUAACCGAAUAGGGGAGCCGUAGGGAAACCGAGUCUUAAUAGGGCGAAUGAGUUGCAGGGUAUAGACCCGAAACCGAGUGAUCUAUCCAUGAGCAGGUUGAAAGUGCCGUAACAGGCACCGGAGGACCGAACCCACUGUCGUUGAAAAGCCAGGGGAUGACUUGUGGAUAGGGGUGAAAGGCUAAUCAAACUCGGUGAUAGCUGGUUCUCCCCGAAAGCUAUUUAGGUAGCGCCUCGGACGAACACCAUUGGGGGUAGAGCACUGUUUCGGCUAGGGGGUCACACCGACUUACCAAACCGAUGCAAACUCCGAAUACCGAUGAGUGAUAUCCGGGAGACAGACGGCGGGUGCUAACGUCCGUCGUCAAGAGGGAAACAACCCAGACCGCCAGCUAAGGCCCCAAAUUCCUAGUUAAGUGGGAAACGAUGUGGGAAGGCACAGACAGCUAGGAGGUUGGCUUAGAAGCAGCCACCCUUUAAAGAAAGCGUAAUAGCUCACUAGUCGAGUCGGCCUGCGCGGAAGAUGUAACGGGGCUCAAACUAGGAGCCGAAGCUGCGGAUUUAAUUGUUUCAAUUAAGUGGUAGGGGAGCGUUGUGUAAGCCUGUGAAGGUGCACUGUAAGGUGUGCUGGAGGUAUCACAAGAGCGAAUGCUGACGUGAGUAACGAUAAAACGGGUGAAAAGCCCGUUCGCCGGAAGACCAAGGGUUCCAGUCCAACGUUAAUCGGGGCUGGGUGAGUCGACCCCUAAGGCGAGGCCGAAAGGCGUAGUCGAUGGGAAAUCGGUUAAUAUUCCGAUACUUGUUUAUGAUGCGAUGGAGGGACGGAGAAGGUUAUGCCAGCCUGGCGAUGGUUGUCCAGGUGGAAGGAUGUAGUUAGACUGAGUAGGCAAAUCCGCUCGGUUAUUAAUGAGAUCUGAUAGCAAGCCAGUUUACUGGCGAAGUGGCAAAUACCCUGCUUCCAGGAAAAGCUUCUAAGCGAUAGUCAUAAACGAAUCGUACCCGAAACCGACACAGGUGGUCAGGUAGAGAAUACCAAGGCGCUUGAGAGAACUCUGCUGAAGGAACUAGGCAAAAUGGUACCGUAACUUCGGGAGAAGGUACGCUGCCGAUGGUGAUGAAACUUGCUUUCUGAGCUGUUGGCAGUCGCAGAUACCAGGCUGCUGCAACUGUUUAUUAAAAACACAGCACUCUGCAAACACGAAAGUGGACGUAUAGGGUGUGAUGCCUGCCCGGUGCUGGAAGGUUAAUUGAUGGGGUUAGCGUAAGCGAAGCUCUUGAUCGAAGCCCCAGUAAACGGCGGCCGUAACUAUAACGGUCCUAAGGUAGCGAAAUUCCUUGUCGGGUAAGUUCCGACCUGCACGAAUGGCAUAAUGAUGGCAGCGCUGUCUCCAGCAGAGACUCAGUGAAAUCGAAAUCGCAGUGAAGAUGCUGUGUACCCGCGGCUAGACGGAAAGACCCCGUGAACCUUUACUACAGCUUUACAUUGAACUUUGACCUAACUUGUGUAGGAUAGGUGGGAGGCUUUGAAGCAGAUACGCCAGUAUUUGUGGAGCCAACCUUGAAAUACCACCCUGGUUAUGUUGGGGUUCUAACUUAGGAUUAACAAAUCCAAGGACAAUGUAUGGUGGGUAGUUUGACUGGGGCGGUCUCCUCCUAAAGAGUAACGGAGGAGUACGAAGGUGCGCUCAGAACGGUCGGAAAUCGUUCAAAGAGUAUAAAGGCAAAAGCGCGCUUAACUGCGAGACCCACAAGUCGAGCAGGUACGAAAGUAGGUCUUAGUGAUCCGGUGGUUCUGUAUGGAAGGGCCAUCGCUCAACGGAUAAAAGGUACUCUGGGGAUAACAGGCUGAUACCGCCCAAGAGUUCAUAUCGACGGCGGUGUUUGGCACCUCGAUGUCGGCUCAUCUCAUCCUGGGGCUGAAGCAGGUCCCAAGGGUAUGGCUGUUCGCCAUUUAAAGAGGUACGCGAGCUGGGUUUAGAACGUCGUGAGACAGUUCGGUCCCUAUCUACCGUGGGCGUUGGAAAUUUGAGAGGAUCUGCUCCUAGUACGAGAGGACCAGAGUGGACGAACCUCUGGUGUUCCGGUUGUUUCGCCAGAAGCAUUGCCGGGUAGCUACGUUCGGAUGGGAUAACCGCUGAAAGCAUCUAAGCGGGAAGCCCACCUCAAGAUAAGAUUUCCCUAAAGAGCCGUUGUAGACUACGACGUUGAUAGGUUGGGUGUGGAAGUGUAGUGAUACAUGUAGCUAACCAAUACUAAUUGCUCGUUUGGCUUGACCAU